RNAcentral lists this transfer RNA (71 nucleotides) under Bajacalifornia megalops (bigeye smooth-head). RNAcentral describes it as "tRNA-Ser (UCN)". It matches the Rfam family "tRNA". From Rfam's summary of the family: Transfer RNA (tRNA) molecules are approximately 80 nucleotides in length. Their secondary structure includes four short double-helical elements and three loops (D, anti-codon, and T loops). The record is from RNAcentral. Lineage: Eukaryota; Metazoa; Chordata; Actinopteri; Alepocephaliformes; Alepocephalidae.
AAGAAAGUGGCAGAGUGGUUAUGCGACUGGCUUGAAACCAGUACAUGGGGGUUCAAUUCCUCCUUUUCUCG